UGGGGAAUUUUGGACAAUGGGGGAAACCCUGAUCCAGCCAUCCCGCGUGUGCGAUGAAGGCCUUCGGGUUGUAAAGCACUUUUGGCAGGAAAGAAACGUCGCGGGUUAAUACCCCGCGAAACUGACGGUACCUGCAGAAUAAGCACCGGCUAACUACGUGCCAGCAGCCGCGGUAAUACGUAGGGUGCAAGCGUUAAUCGGAAUUACUGGGCGUAAAGCGUGCGCAGGCGGUUCGGAAAGAAAGAUGUGAAAUCCCAGAGCUUAACUUUGGAACUGCAUUUUUUAACUACCGGGCUAGAGUGUGUCAGAGGGAGGUGGAAUUCCGCGUGUAGCAGUGAAAUGCGUAGAUAUGCGGAGGAACACCGAUGGCGAAGGCAGCCUCCUGGGAUAACACUGACGCUCAUGCACGAAAGCGUGGGGAGCAAACAGGAUUAGAUACCCUGGUAGUCCACGCCCUAAACGAUGUCAACUAGCUGUUGGGGCCUUCGGGCCUUGGUAGCGCAGCUAACGCGUGAAGUUGACCGCCUGGGGGAGUACGGUCGCAAGAUUAAAACUUAAAUGAAUUGACGGGGU
Molecule: ribosomal RNA, 573 nt
Filed under: uncultured bacterium
Lineage: Bacteria
Description: partial 16S ribosomal RNA
Rfam family: Bacterial small subunit ribosomal RNA
Source: RNAcentral